RNAcentral lists this long non-coding RNA (264 nucleotides) under Crocodylus porosus (Australian saltwater crocodile). RNAcentral's name for it is "lncRNA (ENSCPRG00005003066.1)". Lineage: Eukaryota; Metazoa; Chordata; Crocodylia; Crocodylidae. The record is from RNAcentral.
CAAACAUUUACAACAACUCGGUUUUCUUCAAUCUCUGCAUUGAAUAAAUAGAAGACUUAACAACAGAUCACCUCCAGGAAAAAGCUCACACAACCUGACUGUGGCCAUUCACCAAUCCUGGAAGCCAAAUCAAAUUCUUUUUGGAUGGGGACUGGAUAGUAUUAACCAAGUGUGAGUAGUUUCCAGCAUGAGAACAUUCUCAGGUUUGUAUUUAAGAAGCUACUUGACCUAUUGAUUCAUAUCCUACUCCAUGGAAGUUCAGCU